Molecule: ribosomal RNA, 260 nt
Filed under: uncultured bacterium
Lineage: Bacteria
Description: partial 16S ribosomal RNA
Rfam family: Bacterial small subunit ribosomal RNA
Source: RNAcentral
CGGCACGGGUGAGUAACGCGUAUGCGACCUGCCCGUUGCAGGGGGAUAAUCGGGAGAAAUCCCGUCUAAUACCGCGUAACGCCGCGGGGCUGCAUGGCCCUGCGGCCAAAGGGAGCGAUUCCGGCAACGGAUGGGCAUGCGUGAUAUUAGCUAGUUGGCGGGGCAAUGGCCCACCAAGGCGACGAUGUCUAGGGGUUCUGAGAGGAAGGUCCCCCACACUGGUACUGAGACACGGACCAGACUCCUACGGAAGGCAGCAG